GUAGGUGGCAAGCGUUGUCCGGAAUUAUUGGGCGUAAAGCGCGCGCAGGCGGUUCUUUAAGUCCGAUGUGAAAGCCCACGGGCUCAACCGUGGAGGGUCAUUGGAAACUGGAGAACUUGAGUACAGAAGAGGAAAGCGGAAUUUCACGUGUAGCGGUGAAAUGCGUAGAGAUGUGGAGGAACACCAGUGGCGAAGGCGGCUUUCUGGUCUGUAACUGACGCUGAGGCGCGAAAGCGUGGGGAGCAAACAGGAUUAGAUACCCUGGUAGUCCACGCCGUAAACGAUGAGUGCUAAGUGUUAGGGGGUUUCCGCCCCUUAGUGCUGCAGCUAACGCAUUAAGCACUCCGCCUGGGGAGUACGGCCGCAAAGGCUG
Molecule: ribosomal RNA, 373 nt
Filed under: uncultured organism
Description: partial 16S ribosomal RNA
Rfam family: Bacterial small subunit ribosomal RNA
Source: RNAcentral